AAUAUUUCGCAAUGGGGGAAACCCUGACGCAGCAACGCCGCGUGAAGGAUGAAGGUUUUCGGAUCGUAAACUUCUUUGAUGGGGGACGAAGAAAUGACGGUACUUCAAAAACAACCUACGGCUAACUACGUCCCAGCAGCCGCGGUAAUACGUAGGUGGCGAGCGUUGUCCGGAAUUACUGGGUGUAAAGGGCGUGGAGGCGGGAAAGCAAGUCAGAUGUGAAAUACCGUGGCUUAACCACGGGGCUGCAUCUGAAACUGUUUUUCUUGAGUGUCGGAGAGGAAAGUGGAAUUCCCAGUGUAGCGGUGAAAUGCGUAGAUAUUGGGAGGAACACCAGUGGCGAAGGCGACUUUCUGGACGAUAACUGACGCUGAGGCGCGAAAGCGUGGGGAGCAAACAGG
RNAcentral lists this ribosomal RNA (401 nucleotides) under uncultured bacterium. RNAcentral's name for it is "partial 16S ribosomal RNA". It matches the Rfam family "Bacterial small subunit ribosomal RNA", at positions 360 to 776 of the family's 1533-position model. The record is from RNAcentral.